RNAcentral lists this small nuclear RNA (24 nucleotides) under Arabidopsis thaliana (thale cress). Its description in RNAcentral is "snRNA_14810". Lineage: Eukaryota; Viridiplantae; Streptophyta; Magnoliopsida; Brassicales; Brassicaceae. The record is from RNAcentral.
UCUGUCGCUAGACUCAGCCAUAUU